CUCGGAUUGAAAAUUUUCAGCGUGAGCUCUUAGUCGCAUCAUUUCAAAAUGUUACCCUUCAAUGUCCCGCUGAGGGAAAUCCUCCACCCAAGUAUACUUGGUCUCCAUGCAAGGCGGGGCAAGUUUGUGAUAAGCCCAAACUCAACCUUGGAGAAGUCCUCAGUGAUGGUGUUUACGCUUGCAGCGUAACCAAUAACUUGGGCAGUGAUGCGGAAAAUGUUACCCUUUUUAUAGCAGCAAAAACAGUAAAUGUAACCCUAGUUGUCACAAGCGAAGAUUGUACUGAAGAAGGAGUUACAAGCUCUGUGAAGGAAAAGCUCAUUAAAUUGAUUGAUACCAUCUUUGAGCCCUCAG
Molecule: long non-coding RNA, 354 nt
Organism: Stylophora pistillata
Lineage: Eukaryota; Metazoa; Cnidaria; Anthozoa; Scleractinia; Pocilloporidae
Source: RefSeq, a predicted model, not a curated record